RNAcentral lists this long non-coding RNA (439 nucleotides) under Androctonus crassicauda. Lineage: Eukaryota; Metazoa; Arthropoda; Arachnida; Scorpiones; Buthidae. The record is from RNAcentral.
AUAGUAUUUAAAAAUAAAAUAAUCAUUUAAAAAGUAAUCAAGAAAGUAAUCAUUUAAAAAUAAAAGAAAAUAAGAACAAAUGUUGUAUAGGUGUUAUCAAAGGCCAUUAAACUGCAAACUUAAGGAGCCUAGGAGGUACAUCAAAUUAGGAAACCUCAAUACAGUCCUCUCAAGAUAUGCCUAUGAAGAGAACGUAACAGUCCUUUGGGAUGAUGCAAAAGUAACCAAACAGGUAGGUAUUAAUGAAGAAAAGUUUGUAGCUGAAAUUUUGGAGAUAACCAACCUACAAGGGAAGGAAGAUGUUAUCAAUAACAGAAUCUCUGAGCAGUCAUCUGCUGUUUGGCUAUACACAUUGAAUACUCUUCAUCCAUAAAUCUUCUUUUACAAAUCAGUACUCUACUCUACCACAAUAUAUAUAUUUUUACAAUAUUUUCAACCC